This 506-nucleotide ribosomal RNA is filed under the name uncultured Glomeromycotina. Its description in RNAcentral is "partial small subunit ribosomal RNA". It matches the Rfam family "Eukaryotic small subunit ribosomal RNA", at positions 591 to 1092 of the family's 1831-position model. The record is from RNAcentral. Lineage: Eukaryota; Fungi; Glomeromycota.
CCAAUAGCGUAUAUUAAAGUUGUUGCAGUUAAAAAGCUCGUAGUUGAAUUUCGGGAUUGACAUGUUGGUCGUGCCUUAAGGGGUAUGAACUGGCAUUGUCGAUUUCUCACCUUCUGGAGAAUCACGAUGCUCUUAAUUGGGUGUCGUGUGGAUCCAGGACCUUUACCUUGAAAAAAUUAGAGUGUUUAAAGCAGGCAUUUUGCUCGAAUACAUUAGCAUGGAAUAAUAAAAUAGGACGGCUUGGUUCUAUUUUGUUGGUUUCUAGGAUCACCGUAAUGAUUAAUAGGGAUAGUUGGGGGCAUUAGUAUUCAAUUGUCAGAGGUGAAAUUCUUGGAUUUAUUGAAGACUAACUACUGCGAAAGCAUUUGCCAAGGAUGUUUUCAUUAAUCAAGAACGAAAGUUAGGGGAUCGAAGACGAUCAGAUACCGUCGUAGUCUUAACCAUAAACUAUGCCGACUAGGAAUCAGACGAUGUUAAUUUUUUAAUGACUCGUUUGGCACCUUACG